GGGUUGUGAGGUUAAGCGACUAAGCGUACACGGUGGAUGCCCUGGCAGUCAGAGGCGAUGAAGGACGUGCUAAUCUGCGAUAAGCGCCGGUAAGGUGAUAUGAACCGUUAUAACCGGCGAUUUCCGAAUGGGGAAACCCAGUGUGAUUCGUCACACUAUCAUUAACUGAAUCCAUAGGUUAAUGAGGCGAACCGGGGGAACUGAAACAUCUAAGUACCCCGAGGAAAAGAAAUCAACCGAGAUUCCCCCAGUAGCGGCGAGCGAACGGGGAGGAGCCCAGAGCCUGAAUCAGCAUGUGUGUUAGUGGAAGCGUCUGGAAAGGCGCGCGAUACAGGGUGACAGCCCCGUACACAAAAGCGCAUGUGCUGUGAGCUCGAUGAGUAGGGCGGGACACGUGGUAUCCUGUCUGAAUAUGGGGGGACCAUCCUCCAAGGCUAAAUACUCCUGACUGACCGAUAGUGAACCAGUACCGUGAGGGAAAGGCGAAAAGAACCCCGGCGAGGGGAGUGAAAAAGAACCUGAAACCGUGUACGUACAAGCAGUGGGAGCCCCACCACCAAAGCAUUCUCUGGUGUUGAAGGCCCUGCAAAGCAGCAUCGCGGUGGCGGAGCGUCGUUUGCGACGCCCAACACACAAAACAAGCGGUGAAUGCUUUGGGGUGGGGUGACUGCGUACCUUUUGUAUAAUGGGUCAGCGACUUAUAUUCUGUAGCAAGGUUAACCGAAUAGGGGAGCCGGAGGGAAACCGAGUCUUAAUUGGGCGUUAAGUUGCAGGGUAUAGACCCGAAACCCGGUGAUCUAGCCAUGGGCAGGUUGAAGGUUGGGUAACACUAACUGGAGGACCGAACCGACUAAUGUUGAAAAAUUAGCGGAUGACCUGUGGCUGGGGGUGAAAGGCCAAUCAAACCGGGAGAUAGCUGGUUCUCCCCGAAAGCUAUUUAGGUAGCGCCUCGUGAAUUCAUCUCCGGGGGUAGAGCACUGUUUCGGCUAGGGGGCCAUCCCGGCUUACCAACCCGAUGCAAACUGCGAAUACCGGAGAAUGUUAUCACGGGAGACACACGGCGGGUGCUAACGUCCGUCGUGAAGAGGGAAACAACCCAGACCGCCAGCUAAGGUCCCAAAGUCAUGGUUAAGUGGGAAACGAUGUGGGAAGGCCCAGACAGCCAGGAUGUUGGCUUAGAAGCAGCCAUCAUUUAAAGAAAGCGUAAUAGCUCACUGGUCGAGUCGGCCUGCUCGGAAGAUGUAACGGGGCUAAACCAUGCACCGAAGCUGCGGCAGCGAACGUAUCACCCAAGACAACUUUACGGAGUUGACGAUUGACGGAGCGAAGCGACGUCAAAGCGUUCAUUAAAGUCGAGUUGGCUUAGGGAUACGUUCGUUGGGUAGGGGAGCGUUCUGUAAGCCUGUGAAGGUGUGUCGUGAGGCAUGCUGGAGGUAUCAGAAGUGCGAAUGCUGACAUAAGUAACGAUAAAGCGGGUGAAAAGCCCGCUCGCCGGAAGACCAAGGGUUCCUGUCCAACGUUAAUCGGGGCAGGGUGAGUCGACCCCUAAGGCGAGGCCGAAAGGCGUAGUCGAUGGGAAACGGGUUAAUAUUCCCGUACUUGGUGUUACUGCGAAGGGGGACGGAGAAGGCUAUGUUGGCCGGGCGACGGUUGUCCCGGUUUAAGCGUGUAGGUGUGUGUUCCAGGUAAAUCCGGUUCACUUUAACACUGAGGCGUGAUGACGAGGCACUACGGUGCUGAAGCAACAAAUGCCCUGCUUCCAGGAAAAGCCUCUAAGCAUCAGGUAACAUCAAAUCGUACCCCAAACCGACACAGGUGGUCAGGUAGAGAAUACCAAGGCGCUUGAGAGAACUCGGGUGAAGGAACUAGGCAAAAUGGUGCCGUAACUUCGGGAGAAGGCACGCUGACACGUAGGUGAAGUGAUUUACUCACGGAGCUGAAGUCAGUCGAAGAUACCAGCUGGCUGCAACUGUUUAUUAAAAACACAGCACUGUGCAAACACGAAAGUGGACGUAUACGGUGUGACGCCUGCCCGGUGCCGGAAGGUUAAUUGAUGGGGUCAGCGCAAGCGAAGCUCCUGAUCGAAGCCCCGGUAAACGGCGGCCGUAACUAUAACGGUCCUAAGGUAGCGAAAUUCCUUGUCGGGUAAGUUCCGACCUGCACGAAUGGCGUAAUGAUGGCCAGGCUGUCUCCACCCGAGACUCAGUGAAAUUGAACUCGCUGUGAAGAUGCAGUGUACCCGCGGCAAGACGGAAAGACCCCGUGAACCUUUACUAUAGCUUGACACUGAACAUUGAGCCUUGAUGUGUAGGAUAGGUGGGAGGCUUUGAAGUGUGGACGCCAGUCUGCAUGGAGCCGACCUUGAAAUACCACCCUUUAAUGUUUGAUGUUCUAACGUGGACCCGUAAUCCGGGUUGCGGACAGUGUCUGGUGGGUAGUUUGACUGGGGCGGUCUCCUCCUAAAGAGUAACGGAGGAGCACGAAGGUUGGCUAAUCCUGGUCGGACAUCAGGAGGUUAGUGCAAUGGCAUAAGCCAGCUUGACUGCGAGCGUGACGGCGCGAGCAGGUGCGAAAGCAGGUCAUAGUGAUCCGGUGGUUCUGAAUGGAAGGGCCAUCGCUCAACGGAUAAAAGGUACUCCGGGGAUAACAGGCUGAUACCGCCCAAGAGUUCAUAUCGACGGCGGUGUUUGGCACCUCGAUGUCGGCUCAUCACAUCCUGGGGCUGAAGUAGGUCCCAAGGGUAUGGCUGUUCGCCAUUUAAAGUGGUACGCGAGCUGGGUUUAGAACGUCGUGAGACAGUUCGGUCCCUAUCUGCCGUGGGCGCUGGAGAACUGAGGGGGGCUGCUCCUAGUACGAGAGGACCGGAGUGGACGCAUCACUGGUGUUCGGGUUGUCAUGCCAAUGGCACUGCCCGGUAGCUAAAUGCGGAAGAGAUAAGUGCUGAAAGCAUCUAAGCACGAAACUUGCCCCGAGAUGAGUUCUCCCUGAGACUUUAGGUCUCCUGAAGGAACGUUGAAGACGACGACGUUGAUAGGCCGGGUGUGUAAGCGCAGCGAUGCGUUGAGCUAACCGGUACUAAUGAACCGUGAGGCUUAACCUUACAACGCCGAAG
This 3112-nucleotide ribosomal RNA is filed under the name Salmonella enterica subsp. enterica serovar Typhimurium. RNAcentral describes it as "bacterial LSU rRNA". It matches the Rfam family "Bacterial large subunit ribosomal RNA". The record is from RNAcentral. Lineage: Bacteria; Pseudomonadati; Pseudomonadota; Gammaproteobacteria; Enterobacterales; Enterobacteriaceae.